CUGCUGAUUCAGUAGUCUAGAUUUAAUUUUCAAAGGCAUUUUAAUGGGAAAAUCCACAUCAGAUUUCACAUCCAUCAAAAUGUAGAUUCAACACUGCAUAGUACAUCUCAUAUAAACUCUAAAGAAGUGAAUGGCAGCAAGGGUUCUGAGAAUGUUUAUGUGAUCUGAUUUUCCGUUGGAUCAGUUAAUUUUUUGAUCCUUCACCUUUUUAAAAGAGCCAAACCUUUGGUUUAGAUUUAACUUCUCUCCAUCCACACUAUCUACGCCAUCUAGUGGUUUUAAAUGUUAUAUCCUUGGUUUUUAAGAAGAUUCCUAACGACUGGGGGCGGGGCGGGGUACACGACAAACAAAACGGUUGGCCGUGACAAUUUUCCCGUCCCUCUUUCCACCUCACUUACCCAUCACACGGACUCCUUAUCUACUUUAACCAUUUUAGAUAUGCGCUGAGAUGGGCAGUGAGGACGAAGGGUACGCACACUCUCAGAGACGCACGCCCCUUGACGCUGACAUUUAGAAAGGGUUCUAAAUCCUGUCAUUCGCAAAGGACAGGAAAAAGGAGUUGUGACAAGACCUGGACAGAGGAGAAUGCUUGACUUCUUAUCAAGUUAGAUAGAUGACAUAGUCACCCCGGGAACGUUAACAUCUAUUUUGGGGGAAAAAAAAUAAAGAAAGAGGAAAGAGGGAAAAGCACUUAAAAAUUCCGCCGCGGAGCUUUGCAGGUCUUGCGAUCUAGUUGCCCCCAGAAGACAACCAAUUCCUGCGCGUUCCGCUCCGCUCACCCUCCUUCCCAGCUUCUCGAGUUUUUUCCCCCCCUUUCCCUUUCCCACGUUCGCCUUGAACCCGGCCUCGGGAGGCAGAAGCGAGGCACGGGUUCCCUUCCUCCUCGCCUCCACCAAAGCACCGCAGCCGAGCGCUGGAAGCUUCCCUUUGUUCCUCCGAGGCUCGUUCUCCUCCCGGGCAGAACCACCUGGAUGCUCUCCCUCGAGCGGCGCGGGGAGCUCGUGGAGAUGCAGGACCACCCACUGGCGGCAGGGAAGCAGCGAGCAGCCCUCCCGCGC
RNAcentral lists this long non-coding RNA (1058 nucleotides) under Fukomys damarensis (Damara mole-rat). RNAcentral describes it as "lncRNA (ENSFDAG00000024744.1)". Lineage: Eukaryota; Metazoa; Chordata; Mammalia; Rodentia; Bathyergidae. The record is from RNAcentral.